CGUCUUCGAUCUGUUGCGGGCAGAUGAAAUGGAUGUGUGAAUCAAAGCCACCCGCGGUCAGGAUCUUACCCUCGCCCGCGAUUACCUCGGUUCCCGGACCAACGAUGAUAUCGACGCACGGCUGGGUGUCGGGAUUGCCAGCCUUGCCGAUCUUGUGAAUCCGCCCGUCACGCAGGCCGACAUCCGCCUUGUAGAUGCCUGAAUGAUCGACGAUCAGCGCAUUCGUGAUCACCGUAUCAACAGCCCCGUCCGCGCGGGUGGUCUGGGCCUGCCCCAUGCCGUCGCGAAUG
RNAcentral lists this small RNA (290 nucleotides) under Puniceibacterium sp. IMCC21224. RNAcentral describes it as "5' ureB small RNA". It matches the Rfam family "5' ureB small RNA". Lineage: Bacteria; Pseudomonadati; Pseudomonadota; Alphaproteobacteria; Rhodobacterales; Paracoccaceae. The record is from Rfam by way of RNAcentral.